Molecule: ribosomal RNA, 378 nt
Filed under: uncultured eukaryote
Lineage: Eukaryota
Description: partial 18S ribosomal RNA
Rfam family: Eukaryotic small subunit ribosomal RNA
Source: RNAcentral
CAAUAGCGUAUAUUUAAGUUGUUGCAGUUAAAAAGCUCGUAGUUGGAUUUCGGGUGGGACGCAGCGGUCUCGCAUUGCGUUUGUACUGCUGCAGCCCUCCUUCUUGCCGGGGGCGGCCUCUUGGACUUCACUGUCUGGGGGUCAGAAUCGGCGAUGUUACUUUGAGUAAAUUAGAGUGUUCAAAGCAAGCUUACGCUCUGAAUAUAAUAGCAUGGGAUAACACGACAGGACUCUGGCCUAUCGUGUUGGUCUAUAGGACCAGAGUAAUGAUUAAGAGGGACAGUCGGGGGCAUUCGUAUUCCGUUGUCAGAGGUGAAAUUCUUGGAUUUACGGAAGACGAACAUCUGCGAAAGCAUUUGCCAAGGAUGUUUUCAUUGA